AACCAGACUCCUACGGGAGGCAGCAGUGGGGGAUAUUGCACAAUGGGGGAAACCCUGAUGCAGCGACGCCGCGUGUGGGAAGACGGUCCUCUGGAUUGUAACCACUGUCCCCAGGGACGAAGAUGACGGUACCUGGGGAGGAAGCUCCGGCUAACUACGUGCCAGCAGCCGCGGUAAUACGUAUGGUGCAAGCGUUAUCCGGAUUUACUGGGCGUAAAGGGAGCGCAGGCGGCGCGCCAAGUCUGAUGUGAAACCCCGGGGCUCAACCCCGGGCAUGCAUUGGAAACUGGCGGGCUGGAGUGCCGGAGAGGUAAGCGGAAUUCCUAGUGUAGCGGUGAAAUGCGUAGAUAUUAGGAGGAACACCAGUGGCGAAGGCGGCCUGCUGGACGACAACUGACGGUGAGGCGCGAAAGCGUGGGGAGCAAACAGGAUUAGAUACCCCGGUA
Molecule: ribosomal RNA, 446 nt
Filed under: uncultured bacterium
Lineage: Bacteria
Description: bacterial SSU rRNA
Rfam family: Bacterial small subunit ribosomal RNA
Source: RNAcentral